CGCGCAGGCGGUCGUUCAAGUCGGGCAUGAAAGCUCCCUGGCUAAACCGGGAGAGGAUGUCCGGGACUGGAGGACUAGAGUCCGAUAGAGGGGUGUAGAAUUCCGCGUGUAGUGGUGAAAUGCGUAGAGAUGCGGAGGAAUACCAGUGGCGAAGGCGGCACCCUGGAUCGGAACUGACGCUGAGGCGCGAAAGCAUGGGUAGCGAACG
This 208-nucleotide ribosomal RNA is filed under the name uncultured bacterium. Its description in RNAcentral is "partial 16S ribosomal RNA". It matches the Rfam family "Bacterial small subunit ribosomal RNA", at positions 568 to 774 of the family's 1533-position model. The record is from RNAcentral.